AUUUGAAAUCUGGCCCCCCCGGGGCCCGAGUUGUAAUUUGCAGAGGAUGCUUCGGGUGCGGUCCCCGUCUAAGUGCCCUGGAACGGGCCGUCAUAGAGGGUGAGAAUCCCGUCUGGGAUGGGCGGCCGCGCCCGUGUGAAGCGCCUUCGACGAGUCGAGUUGUUUGGGAAUGCAGCUCUAAGUGGGUGGUAAAUUUCAUCUAAAGCUAAAUACUGGCCGGAGACCGAUAGCGCACAAGUAGAGUGAUCGAAAGAUGAAAAGCACUUUGAAAAGAGAGUUAAACAGCACGUGAAAUUGUUGAAAGGGAAGCGUUGUCCACCAGACUCGCCCGGGGGGGCUCAGCCGGCACUCGUGCCGGUGUACUCCCCCCCGGGCGGGCCAGCAUCGGUUUGGGCGGCUGGUGAAAGGCCCCGGGAAUGUAACACCCUCCGGGGUGCCUUAUAGCCCGGGGUGCCCAUGCGGCCAGCCUGGACCGAG
Molecule: ribosomal RNA, 477 nt
Filed under: Talaromyces sp.
Lineage: Eukaryota; Fungi; Ascomycota; Eurotiomycetes; Eurotiales; Trichocomaceae
Description: partial large subunit ribosomal RNA
Rfam family: Eukaryotic large subunit ribosomal RNA
Source: RNAcentral